UCCAAGAAAUAUGAAAAGAAAAACGUGGAGAGAUGAGAAGAUGAAAGAUGAAAGAAAACAAACCAGCCAAAGUGGCUCUGAUAACACUUGAUAAGCCCUAAAUCGGGAAGGAUCACUUAUGCUGGAUGUUGGAUAUGAUCCGAGAAGGCAAUUGCACUUCUGGAACUGAGAUGGAUUGAAAGGAUCGUCAAGAGAUGCGGAAUGACUCUUGAUAUACCCACGAUCUAAGGCUAACCACCAAAGAACGAUUGUAAUGUGUUAACUAACCACCAAACAACACACAAAGAUGAAUUAGCUGACCACCAAAUCAACAAGCCGGUUCACACCAAUGAACUAGCUAAAGAACUCUCUCUCUUACUCAGAGAAGAAACGAAAAUAAACUGAUUUUAUUCAUGGAAUGAGACUACAUAUUUAUAGUGUUUGUAGUCAAAGACUAAUAAAGAAAAUACACGGAAAAUAAUGCAUAGAAAAUAUAAAUUUGACCAGAUAUGAAUUAAUGAGUCAAAAACUCAGUCUUCAAUGCAGAUUGGUCAAAGAUGGCCCUUCAGAUAAUGUCCAGGUUCAUCCGAACCUGAUGGAUGCACGGGGUAAAGAUAAGGGCGCUUGCGGGAAUGUCUGGAUGGUCCGCCGGAUGAGAAUGCAUGUCCUUCUUAGGUUUCUUCACGACCCAAGCUAAUUUUGGCUUGACCGUGGGUCUUUGACUGUCGAGUUGGUCGGGAAAGACGAGCUCUGAUACGGUCAGUUCGGUCGUCUAGUCGUGGUUCAAGCCGAAACUCCAAUCGGGACGCACGCUGGACGGCUCGGUCAGUCUGAUCGGUACGGUCGGAUGAACGAACCUCGGUCAAAUUGUUCAGAACGUCCUGAUCUCCAUGCUGGUCGGCUUCAAUGGACUGAUCCACGAACCGGGGCACAUCACAAAAGGGACAGGAAGUCUCCGAUCUUCGAGGGGACCCUCAUCGUCUGAAUCCGGAAUCGAGAUUGGAGGCAGCCCACUAGUGGUUUUGCCUGCCGAUGCCGAUCUAGAGGUACGAAAUGAUGACCUCCUCACGAGCUGCCUCUCCAACCUAUCAGGAGGAGGAGGAUUGCUAGAAGAAGCCCCUACCUCCUCCUGAGAAUGCUCCACUUCAUCCUCAAAGGCGCCCGCGAUCUCCGGGGCAACACCCGAUCCAUCUGGCAUCGAGAAGGCAGCUCGAAUUCAAGCAUGAUCGAAAGAAGACCAAGUCAAGCGACCUCUCCGAAGAGCUCCAAUCAAACCCCGAAGCCCGUCGGUCAUAUCCGAUCUCCCGGAAUGAACAGACAGAAUCAGUCAAUAACUGCCCACGCAUGCGAAAAUAGGGAAAACGAAAAAAAACUAAAGAAUAACUCACUUAUGUCCUCAGCCCAAUAGCAGGGGAGCCUCGAGAAAUCAAAACUACCCACAGACGGUUCGUCGAUCUUGAAGACGAAGAAUUCUUCUCGCCAGUUCUGAUCACGAUACGGGAUACCAUGUAUGAUGUGACGUCCUGGACAGGGAGACAUAUGGAACGUCCCAGAAUUUUAUUUGUUUCGUUUCAUCAGAACGAGAUGAUGAAGCUCGUCGAGGCCAAAUGAUAAACCCUCUUCGCGAGCCUUGACUAGGAGUGCCAAAAGAUGUCUCAAGAAAUUGGGGCACAUUUGAGUGAGCGACAAACCCAGCUCCGCCAAAACACUAAGGAUAGGCUCCGGGAUCGGGUAGAAAAGACCCCAGGUCUCAAAGAAGGUGAGAUACGCCCCACCGAAUCCAUCACGAACAGCUUCCGGAGACUCAGUCGUGGAAGCCAAAUCAACUACUACGACCCGAUCGACGCCGUGGACGGUAUAAAGUUCCUCGAGCCAUUUAGCCGUGGUCGUCGGAAGAGGACAGAAGAACGAUGGAGCCAUCUUAUCAAAAUUCGGUAAUUAAAAGUCUGAUUGCAAAAGGAAAAAAGCGGAUUAAGACAGCGUAGGAACGCUCUCGGGUACUUAUAAGCCAUCGCAAGCCCUAACGGCUCUAUCGCUAGGCCCGGGGAAUUUAAUGAUUCGCCCUAACGCGGCGCGUAUAGCCAUUACGCGGGAAAACCAAAAAGCGCACGAGAAGUAACGUACAAAACCUAUGUAGAUCAUCUCCCUUCAUUCAUCCCGAAGAAAAGAGAUUGGGGGACAAAUGUUCGACCCGAUUUUGGAUAAUUAAUAAAUUGGGCCUAAAUGACUUGGGCCGCGCAACCAACGAAGAAGCCCAACUCUGACGAUCAGGAAGAGAUCGAUUCAAGGAGCCAGAGAUCGCAGAGCGGUUGCGAAGAUCGCGGAAGCAGCCCAUUAUAAGAAUAGAUCGAUAGAUACGAAAGGGGAAACGUUGAAAACCCUAGAGAGAGCCACACACACAUCGACCUUGUUUUCACCUAGCUUUAAGUCUUUUCUCUUAUCGAUCUCGCUUGUAACGUUCGAUCUUAUUUCAUUCAUUGUAUUCAAUCUUAUUCAUCAAUAAAAUCCAUCUUUGCCUACUAGAAACUGAUUACAUCGUUGUGUUCUAAAGAUAUCGUUGCCUACAUCAUUUUAGCUUCCUUAGAUUAAACUCUUGAUCACUAUCAAAUACUUAGUGUAGAUUUUAAGAUCUACACUUACCAUCACCGAUAAUAAGAUCUAGAAAGAAGACAAGAAGAGAUCUGGACACAAACUUGAAUCGGUUCAUCGAGGAUCUUUGAUGGCUUGGCUCCAGCGUGCAACGAACGACAACCAGCGAGAAGAGAGAUACGUCGGCGAAAAAGAAGAGAGAGAGGUCAGCCAAAAGAGAUCGAAAGAGACAAGAAAAGGAGAAACCUUGACGGCUAAGGUUUUCAGAUCUCUCUGGAAAUCGGCAAGGCUUCGCUCUGGUUUCGAAAUGAGAGAGAAGAGAAGGAGAAGGCUCCUUUUUAAAAGAAAAAGAGGUGAAAAUCCUAGGGUUUACUACACGGGCCAGAAAAGAAGACCAAAAGAUAAUGAGCUUUGGUCCAAAUCAAGUUAAUAAUUAAGAAAAACAAAACCAUCCCGGUUUGGAAGAACCAGGAUGUGACAACUUUACCCCACUUAACUGGGAAUUCGCCCCGGAUUCCGAAAGGAGCAAGGGGAAAACUUAACCAUUAAGUAAGAGAUUAAAAACUUGUUCGAUUCAUAUUGGUUUGAGUCGAGCCUGGCCCUCUAGGUUAGGACUAGAGAGUUUUUCAUGGGUCUGAUACCACUUGUGACACUCCGAACCAGCAUAGCUAAAAUGGUCGGCGAUAUCAUGACACUUGUCUCCAGCCAUAAGGCCGAAACAAUGUGUCUUUAGGAUCCCAAGACGUCUUUAACAAAAACCCAACAACAUGAGCCGAACCUGAAAUGGAAAGGGAAGAAAGAGGUGUGAGCAUUUCGACAAAAGCUCAGUGAGGAAAGCUCCAAGAUCCCCAAAAUCAUCACCUGACAUUCACCACACAACAUAACAAAAGCUCUACCUAGAACAUCGAGUAAAGCAAUAGCAAACAACAAGAAAGAAGGAUAAACCCCGACGGUGCCAACAUGAGAAUAACGCCACAUCACGCUGUCUCCAUGCCUCUCAUGUUGUCGCGUGAGAACUCACCACAUCACGUUGUCUCCGUGAAUUCCACGCGAUCACGCCACAUCACGCUGUCUCCACGUGAUCCGCGCCACCACACUCACACGAUCACGCCACAUCACGCUGUCUCCACGUGAUCAGUGUGACUACAUUCACACGUUCACGCAACAUCACGCUGUCUCCACGUGAGCCGUGCUACUACAUUCUUAACUUCACACAAGCGCAUGCCCGCUCCGGCAUGAAUCAUGUCAACUCACGCGGUCGCCACAUGAUCCAGUCAAGAAACAAUGUAAUGCCCGAGACAUACAAAUACAUCAUUCCACCACUUUACACCGGCACACAUAGGCCUUAAGACCUUUUCUAUCAUAUACACUUCCCACACAUGCUUAUUCCCCAUACAAUGCAAACACUCACAUACAAGUCUCAAUCACCAAACAACCAUAUUCGAUUUAGCAACCUAUGAAUAGAUUUAGGUGUUCACACAUUUCAAUACAAUAUAUAGGGAUAUAUAUGAUAUAGUUCAGUUAUCAAACAACUACGUGUAUGCUUAUAGAUAACACGUAGGUAUGAAUGAUUUAGCUAGAAACUUUUACUAUGAAAUGAUAAUGAAAGAAGGAAGAAAGGAUCACAACAAUCCUCACCUUGGCCUUAGAUCUGCGGAUGAAAAAGAGAGAAGAAGCAGAUCUAAAACUUAAGGCUUUCCACGAACCAGAUCUACAAAUAAACGAGUAGCUGCUACCACCAAAGACCCGAAAUGAGAGAUUUAAGAGAAUGAACAAGAACGAGAAGAAGAAGAAGAAAAAGACAACAUGGUUUACUUACCAUCUCCGGUAAUCAGAUCUAGAAAGAAGACAAGAAGAGAUUUGAACCCAGACUUGAAUCGGUUCAUCGAGGAUCUCUGAUGGCUUGGCUCAAGCGUGCAACGAAUGACAACCAGCGAGGAGAGAGAUACGUCGGCGAAAAAGAAGAGAGAGAGGUCAGCCAAGAGAGAUCGAAAGAGACAAGAAAAGGAAAAACCUUGACGGCUAGGGUUUUCAGAUCUCUCUGGAAAUCUGCAAGGGUUCGCUCUGGUUUUGAAAUGGGAGAGAAGAGAAGGAGGAGGCCCUCCUCCUUUUUAUAAGAAAAAAAGGUGAAAACCCUAGGGUUUACUGCACGGGCCAGAAAAGAAGGCCAAAAGAUAAUGGGCUUUGGUCCAAAUGAAGUUAAUAAUUAAGAAAAACAAAACCAUCCCGCUUUGGGAGAACCGGGAUGUGACACUUAACCUGUCGAGACACAACGAGGAGAGCACCACGACACUGGGAUGGCUCAGACUAAAUCGUACCUUCAUUGUGGAGAAACCGGGCCUCGAUGACCACAAAACCAAGCAAAACCACACACGAUUCCCCUCUAAAAACUAGAGGAAGAUUCUUUGACUGAAGAACGGCCAAACGAGACAGAACGUUGACCGGCAAUACUAAAGAGUACUCCUCUUUAGCCUAUUGCUCUUUUAUAAAAGUCAGAAGUUGACCAAAAAAAAUACACACACAGUUCUCACCUCAAACAAUGGUAUGAUAAGUUGUUGAACGUCCACAACCACUAGACAAUACUACCUUUUUUCUUUUUUUGAACAAUACUAUCUUGUAUAUAAAAUCAUACACAAAAUAUGGUUUUUGUUAUAAAAUAUAAAGAUUUAAACUAUAUAAUAUAUAAGCAAAGGCUUUAAACAGUGCAAAGAAGAAGAUCGGACGUGUGUGUGCAAGAGAGUAUAAGAAUGAAGUUAAUUAUACUCAUUUUUGUGCAUCCCGUUACAAGCAUAUAUAUAGUAGUGGGAGUUGGUGGGUUUGCUGGCUUGAAACAUAAUCUAAUAAUAUAAAGUAGAGUUACUCUCUCCUGUGAGAGCGCCACGUCACUAAUUCGAUCAUCCUGGGUGCGACAUCUGUCCCCUCACUCUCAAAACUCGCCGUAUGAUUUAUAAAAUUUUGGGUUUCUUUCCCCUGAAGUUGGGCUUCUUCCACGCAGUCAGACCCGUCGAACUCUACAUUGGAUAUCAAAACUUAAACGUUGCGUUUUGGAUUAGGGUUCGUAGUGUCCGUCUCGCGUCUCCAGUCUUCCUCCAUCGACUGAUUCGUCUUCUUCUUCCACGAACAGAGACGGUAACCGAUUCCCUCAUAAAGCCCUCCUUAAUCAAUCACACACGAUCUCCAUUCAAUGCGACCCCGGAGAGUGCAAGGCAGUGGACACUCUGCUAUAAAAAGUUCGCAUGCUCUGAUUUGACAUGCUUUUUCUGGAUUCUCAGUUCCUAAUGAGUUGAGCGGCUGGCAGAUAAAACUCAAUGAGAGAAGACAGAAGCUGGAGAAGAGAAGAGUGAGGUUCAAGUUGUGCUCCUUGGACAAGGACUUGGAGAUUUUUUAUCUGAAUCCUCAGCAAUGUAAUGUCUCUGAACCACAAGUGUACAGGUUCUGCUGAGUACACAAGUCUAAGAUAUCUUGAGAGCUCAUCAGGGGUAAGUUCUGAGAACAAGAGAAGACAUUUCUUAUAUCUCUACAACAGAUUUAAUGUUUAACUUAUGCUCUAAAUUGUUCCAAGAAUCAAGUUUGGGUCUAGAAAAACGAGACAGAAACAUUCAAUACCUGAAACAAGAGCAGGAGCAACCAAGUCAUGUCUCUGUUCUAGAGAGGAUACGUCUGGAAGAAGAAACAGUAGAAGAGAAGAUUAGAUUGCUAUCUUUUCAUGAUUCAUGAAUCUUCUAGAGAAGGACUCAAUUCACAGGUUUGUGAAGAAAGUUCUUGAAGCUUCAAGACUGAACUGGACUAAUAUCAUGGCAAGAUGCAACGAAGAAACAUCACUACUUAACGAAUUCUCACACGGCGAUCACAACAAGGGUAAGCUUCUUCUGGUUCUUGAUUACACGGACGAGAGUCUCCAAGAGAUUUACCGUCGAGACAUCAUCAAGUUUUGGCCUUUCUUGAGAGUUAUCAUCAAUCUACCAUCUUCUUCCUUUAGAGAAGACCUGAUUCACGAGACGCUGAGACGUUUCGACUGGGGUUUACUCUGCUGUGACACUCCAAGAACGUUGGAUCAGAUCAUUGAGACUGAUGUGGUAAAGCCAUCAUAUCUUUGGUCGGAUUUUGGUGGUGAAGCUGAAGGUGGAAGUAGCCAGGUGCAGAUAGCAUCGGAGAAGGUGAAGAAAGCACGCAAUGCAUAGGUGAAAGAGGAUUGGAGUUCAAGACGCAGUUUUUUUUUAAUGCUUAAGUCGUUUAUGCUGGUUUUUUUCCCUUUUCUGGUGUUUGUUUUAUGAACAAGUUUGACUUUCACUCUUUGCUACUUCUAUAAUUUUGGUUUUUUAAUACCAAAUAUAAAAUAUAUCUCAUUUCAGAAAUA
Molecule: RNA transcript, 6925 nt
Organism: Brassica napus (rape)
Lineage: Eukaryota; Viridiplantae; Streptophyta; Magnoliopsida; Brassicales; Brassicaceae
Exons: 3
Source: RefSeq, a predicted model, not a curated record